GGGUAAAUCUUGUUAGUGUAGUGUGAGUUAAAUAGGUUUGAUAUUUGAAGAAGCAAUGAAGUUAUAGGCUUAGUAUAUGUUAUAGAAAAGUUGGAGUUUAACUAGAGUGUAGUAGUAUUGUAGAAGAAAGAGGUAGUUGUUUUGAAGGAAAGAAAUUAUAGAGUGUUGUACCUUUUGUAUCAGGGAUAGUCAAAAUUGGAAGUUUAUUUGUUUUAAUCUCGAAGCAGAAAGAUCUAGAGUUUAAGGCAUGGUUAUGUGGUAAAAUAACAUGGAAUUUAAUUUUAGUAAUGAUAUUUUAGUCGAGUUUUGUAUAUCUAGUUCUUUUCGAAAGGAAUUUAAUUUCAUUUUUAUGUUUUGAGAGCAUAAGAUUAAAGAUUAAGAGGGAUAAGCUUCUUAGUGUUUGCUAUAAGAGUGGAGAGUUUUGUUUUUAAAUUAGGCUUAAGAGCAGCCAGAUUUAUAAAGCGUUCUAGUUAAUUUAUUGUUAAGGUGAAUUUAUAUGGUUUUUAGUGAGUUAGAAGAGAGUAAGUUGAAUUUAGGAAAAUUUAGUUAAAAUGAUUUUAUUAGUAUAUUUGUUUGUUAAAGGGUUGCAGUGAAAUACCUGUAGAGUAUUAAUUAGUUAAGAUGCGGAGAAGGAACUCGGCAAGUAUUAUUUUUGCCUGUUUAUCAAAAACAUGUCUGUAUGUAGUAUAUAUAGAGUCUGGCCUGCCCACUGAAAAUUUUUAAAGGGCCGCGGUAAUUUGACCGUGCGAAGGUAGCAUAAUCAAUAGUCUCUUAAUUGGAGGCUGGAAUGAAUGGUUGCACAAAAAAUAAUCUGUCUCAGCUGUAGGAGUAGAAUUUUACUUUUGAGUGAAAAGGCUCAAAUAUAUUAAGGGGACGAUAAGACCCUAUAAAACUUUAUAUAAUAAGUUUAAUUUUUGAAUUUUGGUGUUAAAGUGAAUUAGUCUUUAUUUAUUAUGUUGGGGCGACAAGAGUAUAAAUGAGUAACUGUUUGUAAAUUAAAAUAAGUAUGUUUAGAAAUGUGAUCCUUUUUUAGGGAUUGAAAGAAAAAGUUACUUUAGGGAUAACAGCGUAAUUUUUUCUGAGAGUUCUUAUCGACGAAAGUAGUUGCGACCUCGAUGUUGAAUUAAGAUUUCCCUGAGGGGUAGAAGUUUCAGUGGUGGGUCUGUUCGACCCUUAAAGUCUUACAUGAUUUGAGUUCAAACCGGUGUGAGCCAGGUUGGUUUCUAUCUUUUAAUUUUUUAUGGGCUAUCUUAGUACGAAAGGACCAGGUAGUUGGAAUAGUUUUUAAGGAAAGAAGAACAAUAAUUUU
RNAcentral lists this ribosomal RNA (1309 nucleotides) under Alvinocaris longirostris. RNAcentral describes it as "16S ribosomal RNA". The stretch from base 588 to 1309 matches the Rfam family "Archaeal large subunit ribosomal RNA", at positions 1423 to 2825 of the family's 2987-position model. The record is from RNAcentral. Lineage: Eukaryota; Metazoa; Arthropoda; Malacostraca; Decapoda; Alvinocarididae.